AUGGCGAGCUGGAAGCUUAAGCAUUACUUUCAGGGACAUCCAAUCACUGUGGUUAGCUCUGCUCCUUUGGGAGACAUUAUUCAAAACAGAGAAGCCACGGGGCGAGUCGCCAAGUGGGUAACUGAGCUUGGAUCUCAUGGGUUGAAGUAUGUUCCAUGUACUGCAAUUAAGUCUCAAGCCCUGGUUGACUUCAUCAAUGACUGGACAGAGAUGCAGAUGCCGGAAGAGAAGCCGGACAACACAUAUUGGACUAUUCAUUUUGAUGGAUCCAGGCAAUUGGAAGGCUCGGGGGCUGGAGUCGUAUUAACUUCGCCACGAGGUGAUAAAUUUUGUUAUGUGUUACGGUUGAUAUUUCCAUGCACUAACAACACAACAGAGUAUGAAGCCUUGCUCCAUGGUCUUCGAGUGGCAAAGGAGAUGAGCUUGAGCCGGAUCAGAUGUCUUGAUGACUCAGAUCUAGUGGAUCAACAGGUAUCUGGCAAGUGGGAUUCCAAAGACCCUCUCAUGGCGGCUUAUCGCCGGGAGGUCGAUGCUGUUGCAGGAUAUUUUAAAGGUUAUCAGGUGGAACACAUUGACCGUCGAAAGAAUGAAGCGGCUGAUGCUUUAAGCCGGCUAGGGUCUCAGCGUAAGCCUGUGCCACCCAACACCUUUUUGGAUGUUUUGCAUAACCCCUCUGUCAAGUUGCCCACAGAAGAAGAUUUAGCUGUUCCUGACCCAGAGGCGCAGUUGGUAGCGGCUCUUCGUGUCAUCCCAGAUUGGACGAUACCGUUCUUGGCUUACAUGACCCGGGGAGAGUCGCCAGCGGAUGAGACCCUGGCUCGGCAGAUAACCAGGCGAUCUAAGUCCAUGACGAUUUCAGAUGGAGAGUUGUUUCAUCGCAGUGUUUCCGGAGCGUUUCAACGGUGUGUUUCCCCCGAAGAAGGUUAA
This 927-nucleotide ribosomal RNA is filed under the name Triticum aestivum (bread wheat). RNAcentral's name for it is "partial small subunit ribosomal RNA". Lineage: Eukaryota; Viridiplantae; Streptophyta; Magnoliopsida; Poales; Poaceae. The record is from RNAcentral.